CUCCUCCACUCCUUCUCGUCCCGGUCCCUCGGACUAGCGACCGAGGCGACGCCACCGCGGGGGGCCAGCGCAUCCGCCUUCUCCACUCCUUGUCUCGGCAGAGGCGCCGCCGGCGCCAAACGUCCUGCAGGCGACCACCUCGCGGCCACCAGGUCCGGAGGGGGCCGGAGAAGGCGACUUCGACCACCCCAAAGAGGUGACUGCAGCCGCCGCCCUCGGCUUCAAAUAUCGUUACCAUCAGAUAAUUUGCUCUACGGCUGUUCAGAGUCCAUCGUGGUGCCAAGCGGGGCAAUGAGGCAGUACAGAUCAUCUGGUAGUCAUGGGGAUCAAGUGAAUCCGAAGCACGCCCUGACUCUCACUUUUGUGAUCCAUCUCCUUCGAUUGAUUUCCUCUAAGUGGUGAUGUCUCAGGCACUGCACGGAAGGUGUUUGACAAAAUGAGCAAGUAAGCCGCCGAAGCACCAGAACUGCUCUCUUUGAUGGCAUUGAAGAAGGUGUAAUACGAGCACCAGCUUAUUCUUCACAUGAGAUAGAUGAACAUGAGAAUGAGUCAGCAUUCUCAAGAGGGGGUGAUCCACGCUGACUAGCGCGGCCGGUGGGCGCUGUGCUCUUCAACCACUCGGAGGCGGACUUCUCCGUGAAUCCCAGUGGCCACGUCGCGUGGAUGGUUGUCCAGGUGAUUUUGACGCCGGAGGUCGCCGAGGUGGAGGACCUCGACGCCACCAUUCGGGGGAAGGGAGGAUUCGGGUCCACCGGCGUCUAAGCUCCGAGCCUUGGUAGAUACAUCUAGGGAAGUGGUCUGUUUAGGUUGGCUCCGAGCCUUUCGAUGAUGGUUGUGUGUGUCUGAUGUUAAAUGGAAUCUUGAGAAUGUUAUGCGACGUUGGUUUGGUUUGCACUGGACGUAUUGCCAUCCAUGAAUACUACAUCUAACUUUUAUUUUUUUAA
This is a long non-coding RNA of Aegilops tauschii subsp. strangulata, 944 nucleotides long. RefSeq lists it as uncharacterized. The record is from RefSeq and is a predicted model, not a curated record. NCBI's taxonomy places the organism in Eukaryota, Viridiplantae, Streptophyta, Magnoliopsida, Poales, Poaceae.